Molecule: ribosomal RNA, 719 nt
Filed under: uncultured bacterium
Lineage: Bacteria
Description: bacterial SSU rRNA
Rfam family: Bacterial small subunit ribosomal RNA
Source: RNAcentral
GGUAGUCCACGCCGUAAACGAUGGGCACUAGGUGUGGGGGACAUUCCACGUUUUCCGCGCCGUAGCUAACGCAUUAAGUGCCCCGCCUGGGGAGUACGGCCGCAAGGCUAAAACUCAAAGGAAUUGACGGGGGCCCGCACAAGCGGCGGAGCAUGCGGAUUAAUUCGAUGCAACGCGAAGAACCUUACCAAGGCUUGACAUGAACCGGACCGCUGCAGAAAUGUGGUUUCCCCUUUGGGGCUGGUUUACAGGUGGUGCAUGGUUGUCGUCAGCUCGUGUCGUGAGAUGUUGGGUUAAGUCCCGCAACGAGCGCAACCCUCGUUCUAUGUUGCCAGCACGUGAUGGUGGGGACUCAUAGGAGACUGCCGGGGUCAACUCGGAGGAAGGUGGGGACGACGUCAAAUCAUCAUGCCCCUUAUGUCUUGGGCUUCACGCAUGCUACAAUGGCCGGUACAAAGGGUUGCGAUACUGUGAGGUGGAGCUAAUCCCAAAAAGCCGGUCUCAGUUCGGAUUGGGGUCUGCAACUCGACCCCAUGAAGUCGGAGUCGCUAGUAAUCGCAGAUCAGCAACGCUGCGGUGAAUACGUUCCCGGGCCUUGUACACACCGCCCGUCAAGUCACGAAAGUUGGUAACACCCGAAGCCGGUGGCCUAACCCCUUGUGGGAGGGAGCUGUCGAAGGUGGGACUGGCGAUUGGGACUAAGUCGUAACAAGGUAACC